AGUGAACGCUGGCGGUAGGCCUAACACAUGCAAGUCGAACGGCAGCACAGGAGAGCUUGCUCUCUGGGUGGCGAGUGGCGGACGGGUGAGGAAUACAUCGGAAUCUACUUUUUCGUGGGGGAUAACGUAGGGAAACUUACGCUAAUACCGCAUACGACCUACGGGUGAAAGCAGGGGACCUUCGGGCCUUGCGCGAUUGAAUGAGCCGAUGUCGGAUUAGCUGGUUGGCGGGGUAAAGGCCCACCAAGGCGACGAUCCGUAGCUGGUCUGAGAGGAUGAUCAGCCACACUGGAACUGAGACACGGUCCAGACUCCUACGGGAGGCAGCAGUGGGGAAUAUUGGACAAUGGGCGCAAGCCUGAUCCAGCCAUACCGCGUGGGUGAAGAAGGCCUUCGGGUUGUAAAGCCCUUUUGUUGGGAAAGAAAUCCAGCCGGCUAAUACCUGGUUGGGAUGACGGUACCCAAAGAAUAAGCACCGGCUAACUUCGUGCCAGCAGCCGCGGUAA
RNAcentral lists this ribosomal RNA (506 nucleotides) under uncultured bacterium. RNAcentral's name for it is "partial 16S ribosomal RNA". It matches the Rfam family "Bacterial small subunit ribosomal RNA", at positions 29 to 523 of the family's 1533-position model. The record is from RNAcentral.